RNAcentral lists this ribosomal RNA (515 nucleotides) under uncultured Bacteroidota bacterium. RNAcentral describes it as "uncultured Bacteroidetes bacterium partial 16S ribosomal RNA". The record is from RNAcentral. Lineage: Bacteria; Pseudomonadati; Bacteroidota.
UUACCGCGGCUGCUGGCACGGAGUUAGCCGGUCCUUAUUCGUACGGUACCGUCAAGCCACUACACGUAGUGGUGUUUCUUCCCGUAAAAAAGCAGUUUACAACCCAUAGGGCAGUCUUCCUGCACGCGGCAUGGCUGGAUCAGGCUCUCGCCCAUUGUCCAAUAUUCCUCACUGCUGCCUCCCGUAGGAGUCUGGUCCGUGUCUCAGUACCAGUGUGGGGGAUCCCCCUCUCAGGGCCCCUACCCAUCGUAGCCUUGGUGUGCCGUUACCACACCAACAAGCUAAUGGGACGCAUGAUCAUCUUGUACCGAUAAAUCUUUAAUUAUAAAACAAUGCCGUCUCAUAAUACUAUGGGGCAUUAAUCCAAGUUUCCCUGGGCUAUUCCCCUGUACAAGGCAGAUUCCAUACGCGUUACUCACCCGUGCGCCGGUCUCUAUAAUGCAAGCAUUAUAUACCCCUCGACUUGCAUGUGUUAGGCCUGCCGCUAGCGUUCAUCCUGAGCCAUGAUCAAACUC